This is a long non-coding RNA of Talpa occidentalis (Iberian mole), 555 nucleotides long. RefSeq lists it as uncharacterized. The transcript is spliced from 4 exons. Lineage: Eukaryota; Metazoa; Chordata; Mammalia; Eulipotyphla; Talpidae. The record is from RefSeq and is a predicted model, not a curated record.
UAUGGGCAUUGUGCCCAUAAGGGGGACCGGGAGACAGCAAACUGCAGGUUCAUAGAAGAGGCAAGAAAGCAGCCUGGAUCACAGAAGUCUUCUUACCCCAAGAUAGAAAACCACUGGCAAAGCGUGAGAGUCCAGUUCCUUGGAGGAUGGUCUGUUACCUGAUCUUUGACUUCUAUGGAUUUAUGGCUAUGCUUUGGGAAGAGUAGCUGCCUGCUCUGCAGAAGGUUCAGGGCCUGACCUUGCAAGUAUGAAUCAUGGCUGGAUGGACUCAAGAGAAGUCAGUCCCAUGGCCACACCUGGCUGCAAGAGUGUCUAGGAGAUGGAACGCCCGACUGGCCGCCCCCCUCCGGUGACAAAUGUGUGUGAUCAGGCCAUGGCAGGAGUAUUGAGAUAGUCACCAAGAGAAGCAGGAGCAGGAGAGAAAGAAGGCCAGAGAAGCCCAGAGUGAAGAUUUUCAGGGGGCUUGGAGGCCUGCAGGCUUCCUGGCCCCCUGGCACCCCUGCCUGUGGUGUGUACCUGGUUGCUGUAAUACACAUAAAGCUCAAUAAAAGCCUG